UACGUAGGGCGCAAGCGUUAUCCGGAAUUAUUGGGCGUAAAGAGCUCGUAGGCGGUUUGUCGCGUCUGCCGUGAAAGUCCGGGGCUCAACUCCGGAUCUGCGGUGGGUACGGGCAGACUAGAGUGAUGUAGGGGAGACUGGAAUUCCUGGUGUAGCGGUGAAAUGCGCAGAUAUCAGGAGGAACACCGAUGGCGAAGGCAGCUCGUGG
This 208-nucleotide ribosomal RNA is filed under the name uncultured bacterium. Its description in RNAcentral is "partial 16S ribosomal RNA". It matches the Rfam family "Bacterial small subunit ribosomal RNA", at positions 524 to 732 of the family's 1533-position model. The record is from RNAcentral.